RNAcentral lists this non-coding RNA (28 nucleotides) under Rattus norvegicus (Norway rat). Lineage: Eukaryota; Metazoa; Chordata; Mammalia; Rodentia; Muridae. The record is from RNAcentral.
UGCUAGUCACCCCCUCGCAUGUCAGUCC